AUGUUACUGAAACUGUUGGUACCUCAUAUGGUUUUGUGGGGGCUUAGUCUUGUUCUAAAAAAUACCAGUACCCACAUCAAACUUUUUUCAAAUGUUCUGGGGUAUAUAAUAAAUGUGUUGUGUUUUAGAACUGUAUUGCAGCCAUACUUGAAAAGCCAUUUCUACAUGUCAAUACAACCUGCAUUUCAGGCUUACUUGAAAAAGCACCACACAUACAUAUCAAUAUCAGGGCCUCAAUUUGGAAACUGGUACAUACGGUUCAAAUUCUUUGUCCAAUUCUGGUCUCUGUCUUCUAGAAAAGCACAAGGGUUCGCAAUGUAUCAAUCAGCUUACUUUCAGUGA
This 342-nucleotide ribosomal RNA is filed under the name Triticum aestivum (bread wheat). RNAcentral's name for it is "partial small subunit ribosomal RNA". The record is from RNAcentral. Lineage: Eukaryota; Viridiplantae; Streptophyta; Magnoliopsida; Poales; Poaceae.